GGUGCAGUGCAAGUGUCCAAUAGGAUGAGACGGUGGAGUGACGGUUGGGGAUGCUCGCGGAUAGAAACAAAGACAGGGAGACGUUUGAAACUUCGUGCGGGUAGGGAAAAGUGUGAUUAUUGUUCUGAAAGAGCCUACUGUUCAAAGUCAAAGUCGUCGUUGGGACAUGGUAACAACUGCAUGUUGUUAUGUUUCGGAUGGGAUAGUCAAGUUGGGGAAUGGGAUGGGUUCAAACUCCUGAUUAGCAACCGUCGACCCUCGAGAGAGAGGGAAAUCAAUGCAGUUCCCCAGCUGUGUCUUCACCUCCUCCAGCGUCCAACGGACUUCAACUGACAAAAUCCAGGCCCAUGGUGAUGCAUAGCCGGAUUCUUCAUCUCAAGCUCAAUGGGUCAUCACUAGCUGUGCUCCCACACUCCGACCGUCAUCACGCUAUGAGGGAUGGUGAAUUCUCUGAAAAAGGUAA
Etheostoma spectabile (orangethroat darter) is the source of this 463-nucleotide long non-coding RNA. RefSeq lists it as uncharacterized. The transcript has 3 exons. The record is from RefSeq and is a predicted model, not a curated record. NCBI's taxonomy places the organism in Eukaryota, Metazoa, Chordata, Actinopteri, Perciformes, Percidae.